Molecule: non-coding RNA, 124 nt
Organism: Hordeum vulgare subsp. vulgare (domesticated barley)
Lineage: Eukaryota; Viridiplantae; Streptophyta; Magnoliopsida; Poales; Poaceae
Source: Rfam
UUAGUACUCCCUCCGUCCGAAAAUACUUGUCCUAGAGAUGUAUGUAUUUAGACUUAUUUUAGUUAUAGAUACAUCCAUUUUAUUCAUUUCUAGGACAAGUAUUUCCGGACGGAGGGAGUACAUC